GAUGAACGCUGGCGGCGCGCCUAACACAUGCAAGUCGAACGAUUAAAGCAACUUCGGGUGUGUAUAAUGUAGCCAACGGCUGAGUAACCCGUGGGCAACCUGCCCCUAUCAUUGGGAUAGCCACGGGCAACCGUGGAUACUACCGCUUACUUCGGGACUUCCGCAUGGUAGACUCGAGAACGCCCCGGCGGAGCGGGAUGGGCCCGCGGCCUGUUAGCUUGUUGGUGGGGUAAUGGCCUACCAAGGCAAUGAUGGGUAGCUGGGUUGAGAGACCGACCAGCCAGAGGGGGACUGAGGCACGGCCCAGUACCCAACGGGGGGCAGAAGUGGGGAAUCGUGGAAGAGGAGCGGACGCCGCAUGCAGCGGCCCCGCGUGGGCAAGGAAGGCCUGCGGUGGGUAUUCUGCCUUCAGCAGGUACGAGCCGAAAGCGACGGUACCUGCAGAAGAAGCAUCGGCUAACUACGUG
RNAcentral lists this ribosomal RNA (467 nucleotides) under uncultured bacterium. RNAcentral's name for it is "partial 16S ribosomal RNA". It matches the Rfam family "Bacterial small subunit ribosomal RNA", at positions 28 to 507 of the family's 1533-position model. The record is from RNAcentral.